UGAGGAAUAUUGCGCAAUGGACGAAAGUCUGACGCAGCGACACCGCGUGAAGGAUGAAGGCUUUCGGGUUGUAAACUUCUGUUAAGUGGGAAGAAAGAAUCGAUUCUAAUACAAUCGGAAGAUGACGGUACCACUAGAGAAAGCACCGGCUAACUUCGUGCCAGCAGCCGCGGUAAUACGAGGGGUGCAAACGUUAUUCGGAUUAAUUGGGCGUAAAGGGUGCGUAGGCGGCAUAUUAAGUCAACUGUUAAAUUUCCCGGCCUAACUGGGAUUCUGCGGUAGAUACUGAUGUGCUUGAGGAUGGAAGAGAGAAGUGGAAUUCUCGGAGUAGCGGUAAAAUGCGUAGAUCUCGAGAGGAACACCAAUGGCGAAGGCAGCUUCUUGGUCCAUUUCUGACGCUGAGGCACGAAAGCGCGGGGAGCAAACAGGAUUAGAUACCCCCGUAGUCC
This 449-nucleotide ribosomal RNA is filed under the name uncultured bacterium. RNAcentral describes it as "bacterial SSU rRNA". It matches the Rfam family "Bacterial small subunit ribosomal RNA", at positions 355 to 796 of the family's 1533-position model. The record is from RNAcentral.